GAGACCUCAGGUCAGGCGGGGCUACCCGCUGAAUUUAAGCAUAUCAAUAA
This 50-nucleotide ribosomal RNA is filed under the name Glycine falcata. Its description in RNAcentral is "partial large subunit ribosomal RNA". Lineage: Eukaryota; Viridiplantae; Streptophyta; Magnoliopsida; Fabales; Fabaceae. The record is from RNAcentral. RNAcentral also lists the same sequence under 4 other names.